GACUACGACCCUCCUAGUGAAGGACAGGUCGGAGGUCAUGACCCCACGCUGACCCUGCUGGCCAGGAUCGACCAGGAAGUCACGCUCUCUGAGCCCCGCCCCCAACCUGAGGUAACACACACACACACACACACACACACACACACACACACACACACACACACACACACACACACACACACACAGAGCUCCUGUAACCUUGGAGACGGUGGUCAAGGUGAUGUGAUCUGAUGACCUCUGACCUCUUGUGUUCUCCAGGGGUCCUGGGGGGAGGAGGAGGAGGAGGGGGAGGAGGUGAGCAUCGGGGAGGUCAGGGGGGGUCACACAUCCUCGCUAGCGGACCCCCGGCAACAACGGACUACAAACUCCCAGAGGACUACAAACCCCAGCAGGAGUAGGAGGGGGGGAGGAGGAGGAGGAGGAGGAGGAGGAGGAGGAGAAGGAGGAGAAGGGGAGCAGGAGAAGAGCGACACCGCGACGGCAGGUAGAGCGACCCCAGACCAGCGGCCCCCGGCUCCGGUACCCCCGGUGUGUGACACGCUGUGGUUCUGCUGUGUUCCCAGGGUUACGCUACGCACCGACCAAUCAGGGCCCGGUAACCAUGGGAGACCUAAAGGCCGAGCCAAUCGGUGAAGCUGUGAUGAACUCCUCGCUUCAGGCCGACCAAUCACACUCACCCCAACCGAUGGAGAGCACACCUAAGUCCUCCAGGCCUCUGGAGGCUCUCAGAGCACAACCUACCAUGGUGAGACCCUACGACCCCACCCUGCCAGGUACACACACACACACACACACACACACACACACACACACACACACACACACACACACACACACACACACACACACACACACCCUCAGUAGACGGAGUUCAAAGACGUGUGUUUGUGUGUUGUGCAGGGGAACAGGAACAGGAAGUGAUGCGUGGCCGCAGGAAGCUUCAGGUCCUUCUUCCCUCGCUGAUCAACGAGGAAGAGGAGGAUGAGGAUAACUGAUGAUGUCAUCGGCCAGAGGGGAGGAGGGAGGUUUUACUACUAUACGAUAAUGUUUUUUAUUGAUAUUUUCAAAUAAAUGCUUGUCUAAAUUUGACGCUUGACUGAUGAUGAUCGUGUUCGUUCUGGUAAUCUCAAAUAAACAUUUAAAUAUCCAUUUAUUGUUAGGUUAUAAUGGAGUAGGGAACCCAAAAAUGUUUUUUGGGGUUUAAUUUUAAACAUGGUCACAUGUCUUGUAUGAUGAAGGAGAGAGUGUGUGUGUGUGUGUGUGUGUGUGUGUGUGUGUGUGUGUGUGUGUGUGUGUGUGUGUGUGUGUGUGUGUGUGUGUGUGUGUGUGUGUGUGUGUGGAGCUGUGCCUGGCCAGAGAGUGUUCAGUUUCCCGCACACCUGAAGUCCAACACCAGGGUGUGUGGGGAAUCUCCCACAUGACCACGCUCACUAUAACCCCCCUACACAACGGUACAGUGAAAUAAUGACGUUGGCGUCGUUACCAUGGUGAUAACAAUCCCCCACCCCCCUCCUACCUAGAACGCCUGGACCCAGAGUGAGGGAGAGAGGGAGUGUGACGUUCGCUCUUAAACUCCUAAACUGACAUGGAUCAAUCUUGGGCCAGCUGAAAAAAGAUUGAUAAUUCUAUUCCACAUUUUUUUAAUUACGGGCUACCUAAAUAAAAGCUCUAGAACUGAAUAAUAUUUGCUGAAACAAAUGUGAACAUGUUGACCUUCGUAACGUGGACAUCUAUGCAUAGAAUGAACACUUCCCUCCAUGGGCUGCAGACUGACCGCAGGCUCAGACCUCCUGCAUUCACGACCUCAGCAGGGAUCAUUACUUGCCAGAUACGAGAGAAGAUGUUAUAACUGCGACACAAGUACAUUUUAGGGUGUUGUAAGGCGGAGAUUAAAAGCUAUUACUUACCGCUUUGCUCUGCCCGACCGCCCACCUGAUGGGCCAUAUCUCCCCUGUUGAGUCGCACUUUGAGCUCAUUAAUUGGAGGGUUGAGUGUUGAAUGAGUGGAGAAGACUGUUACGUAUUUUAAGAACAUAAGCUGCCCCCACAUAGCCUCUAGGAAGCUGAUUCAAACACACAAGCUGUAUUACCCUCACAUAGCCACUAGGAAGCCGGACCGAACAUAUAAGCCGUAAAUACUGCACAUAGCCACAAGGGGAGCAGGACCUUACUGAAGACUGCAAUAGCUACUCCAUCCACAGAAGGCAGCACCUUUAGACAGGUGAGGAAGCCGAGGCUAAUACGCCACAUAGGCCACGCCUACUAGGUAUUUAAACAGGUCCGGAAGCAAAACCAAGGCAUAUAUUUCCGGUAGUGCAGACUUGCGGGUUAGAGGUAUUGGCCAGCUGGGAGUCACUCGCACGUGUUCAAUACAAUUCCCCUCCUUUUGCUUCGUAGUUACCAUACCGAAAUACUUUGACAAAUAAAGUGAGUUAAAAGCGAUCCGUAUUGGACUACUUUCUUCGAAGAACGCAGCAAGACAGAGAACUUCCUCAUUGUGGUGCAUGCCUUUUCUCACCGGAGGUCCUCGAUCAGGUAGGCCUCCGUCACGACUCUGCUCCAGCUAAGACUCCGCAUUCCUCCAGAUGUUUAAUAGCGUAUCUUUAGACGGCAGCUUGUGACACUAGGCCACAUAUUUAAUAUUUUAGGAUACACUGUAAAAAGAUUACCUGGUUUCAAUAUGUAAAGAAUUCACAGGUAUAAUGUGGUGAUCCUAAAGUAAUGUUCCUACCUUAAUAUGUACCUGUGGCCUUAUAUUUAUAUGUAUUUAUUUUAUAUUUAUGACUGUUAUUGUUUUCUGACCGGGGGAUCGGUGUUCCGCAAAUCAGCUGACGUGCCUGUCAGCUGACGGGAUGAGGUUCGAGAGGUUUUAAAUACAAGGAAAUGAAUGAAUGGGGGAGGCGUAAUGAAUGAAUGGAGGGAGUCUGAGAGGGACCUCUAGAAAACGCCAGUCCAACUGAGAAAGCUUAAUAGUGGAAAAGCUGUAAGAACCACUGGACAAAGUCGACAACUCUUGCCGACUCUUUGGAUACGUCGGUAAGAGCGAUUUAUAUUUUUUGCUGGAGGUUUUUGUUACGACCUGGGUCAUCUUGUUUUUCUUUGCCUAUUUUUUCCCCGGACGUAAGAGACAGUUGCUGGCGGAGUUUUGUUCGGGGACAUCGGGGAUUUCGUUUGGAUAUUCUUUUUUGUUUGCUUUGAACUAGAGGGAGAACGCGCGAGUGUGCGCAAGGGGCACGCAAAUGGAGGCCGCUUAUUAACGCGGUUAUCAGAUCACAUCGGCGGAAAAGACUUUUGGGGAAUCUGGACUGUGGGUUUAUUUGAGGGUUGUUUGGUGAAUGUAUAUGGAAAUAUGAACAGUUUGAAAAUAUAUGGGUUAAUGUAAUUCCCUGAGCUAUAUCCUCGUUAUGUGUAUUAUUAUUAAGUGGUCUCAAACGAACACAAUCAAUGUGCUUGGUUCUCAAAUUAAGAAACUCGCGUUUCUAUCGUAAUAAUUGGGCUAAAAGAUUAGUCGAAGUGUUACAAGCUUAUCUUUCCCAGACACGCACUCCGUGAUUUCAGACUUGAGUGUGUGUGACGUCCCCCCUCGUAGACACUUUAGCAAAACUAACACUUUAACAACGACAAACGCUGAAUUCAAGAAGAAGCUAGGCUACUGAGGCAAACAGCUAGGCUACUGAGUCAUGUAGCUAGGCUACUGAGGUAUGAAGCUAGGCUAAUGAGUCGUGUAGCUAGGCUAGUGAAGGCCUCGCCCAACCAGAGACGGUGCCACGUAUGCUGCGCCAGUACCCAUGGCCAGUACUCACUGAAUGUUGAUCUUCCAAUGGACAUGUAUUUUAUUUUAUUUAAGCCUCUGUGUAUUCAAAGAA
This is a long non-coding RNA of Gadus morhua (Atlantic cod), 3865 nucleotides long. The record is from Ensembl. NCBI's taxonomy places the organism in Eukaryota, Metazoa, Chordata, Actinopteri, Gadiformes, Gadidae.